This 429-nucleotide ribosomal RNA is filed under the name uncultured bacterium. Its description in RNAcentral is "bacterial SSU rRNA". It matches the Rfam family "Bacterial small subunit ribosomal RNA", at positions 954 to 1380 of the family's 1533-position model. The record is from RNAcentral.
GCUUAACGCGAAGAACCUUACCUGGGCUAGAAAGUGUAGGAACCUGGCCGAAAGGCUGGGGUGCCCUUCGGGGAAUCUACAGUUAAGUGCUGCAUGGCUGUCGUCAGCUCGUGUCGUGAGAUGUUGGGUUAAGUCCCGUAACGAGCGCAACCCUUGUCCUUAGUUGCCAUCAGGUUAUGCUGGGCACUUUAAGGAGACUGCCGGUGAUAAACCGGAGGAAGGUGGGGAUGACGUCAAGUCCUCAUGGCCCUUACAGGUAGGGCUACACACGUGCUACAAUGGGCAGUACAGAGGGAAGCCAACCCGCGAGGGGGAGCGAAUCUCAUAAAGCUGUUCGUAGUCCGGAUUGGAGUCUGCAACUCGACUCCAUGAGGUUGGAAUCGCUAGUAAUCGCGGAUCAGAAUGCCGCGGUGAAUACGUUCCCGGGUC